Molecule: long non-coding RNA, 147 nt
Organism: Erigeron canadensis
Lineage: Eukaryota; Viridiplantae; Streptophyta; Magnoliopsida; Asterales; Asteraceae
Exons: 3
Source: RefSeq, a predicted model, not a curated record
CAUAUAGAUCAACCAAAAAUAGACAAAAUAAUCAAGUAUGUAUGCAGUGAGGCAAACCGUGAAGAAGACGCAGAUUCAAAACUAAAUAUGGAAACAUUUGCCGAAGCAAUUCGGGCUCUUUCAGUCAAAUACACAAGUCAGGAAAAU